This 175-nucleotide unclassified non-coding RNA is filed under the name soil metagenome. Its description in RNAcentral is "partial internal transcribed spacer 1". The record is from RNAcentral.
GAGAGAAUCAAAAAGUCACACAUCUCGGUGUGUGUCUUUUUCUUCUUCCUUUUCACCCUCAGAACGUAUUGUGCACUGGACCCCUCUCGAAAGCGUUGUUUUCGAACAACUCUUUCCUACUUUCUUUACACGCUCAAAACAUGUCUUGAAUGUUGAUACAAAUUCAUAAAGAGUA